UACGGAAGGCAGCAGUGGGGAAUAUUGCACAAUGGGCGCAAGCCUGAUGCAGCCAUGCCGCGUGUAUGAAGAGGGCCUUCGGGUUGUAAAGUACUUUCAGUCGUGAGGAAGGUGUUAAGGUUAAUAACCUUAGCAAUUGACGUUAGCGACAGAAGAAGCACCGGCUAACUCCGUGCCAGCAGCCGCGGUAAUACGGAGGGUGCGAGCGUUAAUCGGAAUUACUGGGCGUAAAGGGCACGCAGGCGGUUAAUUAAGUUGGAUGUGAAAUCCCCGGGCUUAACCUGGGAAUGGCAUUCAAGACUGGUUAGCUAGAGUCUUGUAGAGGGGGUAGAAUUCCAUGUGUAGCGGUGAAAUGCGUAGAGAUGUGGAGGAUACCGGUGGCGAAGGCGGCCCCUGGACAAAGACUGACGCUCAUGUGCGAAAGCGUGGGGAGCAAACAGGGAUUAGAUACC
RNAcentral lists this ribosomal RNA (452 nucleotides) under uncultured bacterium. Its description in RNAcentral is "bacterial SSU rRNA". It matches the Rfam family "Bacterial small subunit ribosomal RNA", at positions 340 to 786 of the family's 1533-position model. The record is from RNAcentral.